AUGACGUCUUGCAUGUCCCUGGCAUUGACAGGCCACCUGUGGGUUGAUUGGGGUUUAAAGAGACUUCUCCAGUUGCAACAGAGGCCAACGCUAUUGUCUCUCCCCAAGCUACGAGGGUUUCCGUGCACUCAGGCUAGACUCAGGACCCAGCACCUUCCUAACUCUCCAAGAGCAGUGGCGUUUUACCCAGGGGAAGUUAGUGAGAAUGGAGAGGGGAGGAUGUUCAGGUUAAGUCCCUACACAUAUAACUCCCUGUAACCCAAACCCUUACCCUAUUCUUCGUGCUUUGCUUCCCACACUUCACUCCUUUUGGGGGAAGAAAUAGCAAGUAGGUAGGGUGUGCGUGAGAGGAGAUAGAAAUUGUGAAAAAGAAUCUCCAAGACAAAAGUCAGGUGGACCAAUAAGCAGAGCUCCACUGCCAAGUUAACUAAAGGUGAAGGAGGUGGAGGAGGAGUAAACGGGAACGGGAGCGGAAGGGAGCAGGAGAGCUCUCUCACUAUCAAGGUCACCUCCAUUCAAGAUAAAGAAGAACCACAGGUGAUGCUCCUAGGUCCGCAAUGCCCUUACAGAAUUAAGGUUUCAGGAGCCAGAUGAGGACGGCUGCAGAAGGCUAAGAUUGAAGGUCCUGGGUUACCUGCUCUGCUCGAUUCCUCUGGGCUCACACCACCUUUGUUAAUAAUUUACCAGGCGGUAAUAACUGAUUUUUGUGCCAUUCAAGAGGCUGAUAAUCUUCUCGGCUGAGAGAUCUUGCCUUUCUCUUCCCCGCCCCCACCUCCCACCCCCGCCCGCCAAGUCUUCUCAGGCGGCAAUUCCAGGAAAAAUCAACCCCUUGCUGACAAUAACCUUGCUCCCGGCGUGUUCCGGUAGAGUGUUUCAGCACCAGAAUUCAGGACAGCUCCCCGGGAACGCGUAACUGAAAGGAAUUCCCGCCCCUUUGCCUCACUGCCAACUGAUUCCCCCUAGCUCCCGGGGCUAAUUGUCUUCGUCUUUACCUGACUGUGGGGUUCUGUAGGUGAGAAGACAAGCAGAGAAGGGCAGGGUGUCUCCUGUCAUUCUCUAGGGUUAUCUUCAGAGUCAGCCUUCCCUACUUAUAUCCCCAACUUGGAACAGGAUAUGAAUUUGGACUGAGUUGCAAACAAAAAUUUAACUGGAAACAAUGGAAGGAGUUGAGGAGGAAAGAGUGAGAGAAGGUCUGAAGAAGUCCCCAAUUAUGUUAAAGAUGAACUAGGGAAAAAAUGAGUUUGAUUUCUCUGGAAAAUAUCCCUGUCGCCAUCCUAUGCACCUCUUUCUCUCUUGUGCCUACUGUAAAGCAUUUGAAAUCUUUCACCCUCUCCCUCAACCUACAUUUUCCUUAAUGACCCCUGUGGGUGAGAGCUGGGAGCAGAGCUGGGAGAUGAGCUGUUAUUGUAGGAUGUGGGAAUGGACUCUGGAGAGCUCUGGAGAAGAGUGAGAAUAAUAUAGGACUAAUUUAGAAAAAGGCAGAGAAAGUUGUCUCCCACAAACCAAUGGAGACUGGAAAGUCCACUUCUAUUCCAAUACAGGUAAGAAAUUUUAAAAUUUUGUCUCUGAGAUGUUAAGAUAAUAUUAGUUUUAACCUAAUUUUGAAAUAAAUGAUUGAGGUUAGUCUUAACUGUAUAUUUGUUAUGUUAUGGUCAUCCUUUGGGGAUGGGAGAGAUCAUACAACUUUAUACAAGUGAAAUCUUUUAAAAAGGAAUAUCAAGUUAAACCUUAAUUAUUGGAACUUAGAGGACAAAGAGUAGAAAUAGUAGAUCACUGAAAGAAAGAAGGCAUCAAAAUUGAGAUAUCAGAACCAGAGUGGUGUAUAUGAAAGGGAGAAAGAAAUUGUUACCUAGCAACCAGCUUAUCUCUUGUUGCCUUGGUCAAGGUGGGUGGGGUCACUUGAAAAAAGGAUGUUUUAGGUCUUUUUUUGUAGUGGCUUGUAGAAGGUAUUUCCAUCUCUAAAAGGUUAUUCCCCUGAGGCAUAUCUGAUCUCUACAGCAGAUGAUGGACCCUUGACCCUCCCCCCCCUCCAAAAGAAGCAUCACACCUAUUUGCAGUACCUCAAGCUGUGAGGUUAGGGAUAAGGUUAAGUAAUCUAUAGAAAGGAAAAAUUUAGAGAGGUUGCUUCCCUUUGAUGGUUUUGCUAUAGUGUGCUUUACUUAGAGCCAAUCUACCAGACCCUGGGAAGUAUAAUACUCCCUUUAGGACAAAAGAGAGAAGAAAAAGAAAGCCAUUUCCCCCUCUAUCAAGCAUAUAGGGAGGUGGAUAUAAUGUAUAGAAAAGAUAGUGAGAAAAUAUAUUCUUUUAGAAUUAUACAUUUUAAAGCUGGAAGAUGGAUUAGAGGCCUAAUCCAGCCCACUUUAUUUUACUGCUGAGAGGAGAAUUGUGGUGACUUGGCCAAGGUUCCACAGUUUUGAAAUUAUUUCUUCCUCCCCCCUUAAGUAUAUUUGGGCUCUACUCCAUCACCAAAAGUCAAUUCCUCUGGCCAUUUUCAAUUAGGAAAAAACCUAUAGAACUAAAGAAUUAUAUUACCAAUGGGGCAGGGCAAGCUUUUUUUGUGUAAUGUAAGCAAAAUUUGAAAAUUGCUACUUUUGACCUUCAUACACUAUAAACCUUUGAUGUAUCCUUGAUAAUUCAGUAACUGAAUAAAGCUCAGAAUUUUAGGUAAUAAGGAUCCUACAUCUCUCAUAAGAAAGGACUAUGAACAUACUUGGAGGUAGCAAUAUAUAAUGGAAAGGGCAUUGGAUUUAAAAUUCAGAAAACUUGUGUUUGAAUUCUGGCUCACUCUAAUACCCUUAACCUUAAAUUGUUUAACCUUCAUAGGUUUCAUUUUUCUUCAUAUAAAAAUAAAGAAUUGGGCUAGAUAGCUUUUAAAGUCCUUUUCAACUAUAAAUAUUUGAUCCUACAAAAAUUUUCUCCCUUUACUUUCAUUUAUUUUACCCAUCUUCCUUUAUCUUAACACAAUUAAAAAUAAACUCCCUGUCUGAUUCAAUUCUAAAUUCAAUGUUAAAAAUUUUCCCUGUUAGUUGACAAUAUUAGUAAAAGAACACUUAUAACGAAAGAAUCCUUUAGCUCCAUAAUUGUAUAAAGGCUAUCAGUUACUUUUAAGAAGAAGGGGUUAACUCUCAGUUUCCUGUCUCCUGUAUCUGUUUUAGUUCUCAGCCAGGAAAGAUUGGCAUAGCCUAUCUUAGUAAGGAUUAAUGAAACUUUUUCUGAUGGCAUAAAUAUUGCUACAUAGAAACAUUAACUUAGGGGUUUUUCCCUUUCAAUCUUCAUUUGUUUUUAUGAGCAAAAGAUCUAGUUUUCUUUCAAAGAAAAAACACUAUAAUUUCACUGGCUUAAUAAGGAGAAGUAUCCAAUUACAGAUUGUUCUGUUCUGCCUUCUCAACCAAUCAGAGAAUGCCAUUUAUCUUUCUCUUACUAGAGGAGUGAAAAGAGCACCCUAAAACUAUCAAAUAUGGCCUAAUCUUGUAUAUCUAAAGAAUGAUCUAAGCUUUGAGAUCUAGGAUGUGAGACUUUGAUUUAGCUAAUACAGAUUACAUUGACUUUGUAUGUACUCUUUUGUUAUAUCCUUUUUUCUAGUUUAAAAACUUGGCAGUUCCCUUAGUAUGUUUUUAUUCAUUUUAUGAACCACUUAAAAAUAUUUACUGAGCUUUAACUAUGUGUGAUAUAUUUAAAUUGUGUGCAUGAUUUGUAAAUUUUCCAUUAACAGUUAACUUUUUGGAAAAGAUAUUACAAAAAAGUGAGAUGUUUAUCAUUAACAAUAAAAAAGUUUUCCAUAGGGUAAAGAGAACCAGUCUUGAAAUUAGAAAAACCUGAAUUUGAGUCCAGCCUCUGAUAUGGAUUGACUGUAUAACUAUGAAUAAUCACUUAUUUUCACUGGAAGCCCCAGUGAAAUUACGGUCUGGCCAGGGAAUAAAAAAUAAACAAAACUAAUGAUAUGUUUUGAAAAAUGAAAGGGUACAGUUUUUAUCUUCCUAAAAACCUCUCGAGGACUUUCAUAAUCUAAAUGAUAAGAUAGGCAUGAAGUCUAAACUUCCUUCUUCAGGAUGAGUAAAAGUUCCUUCUACUGCUCCUACUGGAAAGGUAAAAAUCAAGG
Long non-coding RNA from Sarcophilus harrisii (Tasmanian devil), 4099 nucleotides. The record is from Ensembl. Lineage: Eukaryota; Metazoa; Chordata; Mammalia; Dasyuromorphia; Dasyuridae.